UUACGGGCGAAGAUAAGACGGAUUAGCGGCGGACGGGUGAGUAACACGUGAGUAACCUGCCUUUUACACAGGGAUAGCCUCGGGAAACCGGGAUUAAAACCUGAUGAAACUAUCAAAUCACAUGAUUAAGAAAGUUAAAACUCCGGUGGUAAAAGAUGGACUCGCGUCCCAUUAGCUAGUUGGUGAAGGUAACGGCCCACCAAGGCAACGAUGGGUAGCCGGCCUGAGAGGGUGAACGGCCACAUUGGAACUGAGAAACGGUCCAAACUCCUACGGGAGGCAGCAGU
Molecule: ribosomal RNA, 287 nt
Filed under: uncultured Peptoniphilus sp.
Lineage: Bacteria; Bacillati; Bacillota; Tissierellia; Tissierellales; Peptoniphilaceae
Description: partial 16S ribosomal RNA
Rfam family: Bacterial small subunit ribosomal RNA
Source: RNAcentral